RNAcentral lists this ribosomal RNA (440 nucleotides) under uncultured bacterium. Its description in RNAcentral is "partial 16S ribosomal RNA". It matches the Rfam family "Bacterial small subunit ribosomal RNA", at positions 338 to 795 of the family's 1533-position model. The record is from RNAcentral.
CCUACGGGGGGCUGCAGUGGGGGAUAUUGCACAAUGGGGGGAACCCUGAUGCAGCGACGCCGCGUGGGUGAAGAAGCGCCUCGGCGCGUAAAGCCCUGUCAGCAGGGAAGAAAAUGACGGUACCUGAAGAAGAAGCCCCGGCUAACUACGUGCCAGCAGCCGCGGUAAUACGUAGGGGGCAAGCGUUAUCCGGAUUUACUGGGUGUAAAGGGGGCGCAGACGGCGAUGCAAGCCAGGAGUGAAAGCCCGGGGCUCAACCCCGGGACUGCUCUUGGAACUGCGUGGCUGGAGUGCAGGAGGGGCAGGCGGAAUGCCUGGUGGAGCGGUGAAAUGCGUAGAUAUCAGGAGGAACACCGGUGGCGAAGGCGGCCUGCUGGACUACAACUGACGUUGAGGCCCGAAAGCGUGGGGAGCAAACAGGAUUAGAUACCCGUGUAGUC